RNAcentral lists this ribosomal RNA (483 nucleotides) under uncultured bacterium. RNAcentral describes it as "partial 16S ribosomal RNA". It matches the Rfam family "Bacterial small subunit ribosomal RNA", at positions 28 to 523 of the family's 1533-position model. The record is from RNAcentral.
GAUGAACGCUGGCGGCGUGCCUAAUACAUGCAAGUCGAGCGAACCACUUCGGUGGUGAGCGGCGAACGGGUGAGUAACACGUAGGUGAUCUGCCAAUCAGACGGGGACAACGAUUGGAAACGAUCGAUAAUACCGGAUAGGACGAAAGUUUAAAGGUGCUUCUGGCACCGCUGAUGGAUGAGCCUGCGGCGCAUUAGAUAGUUGGUAGGGUAAAGGCAUACCAAGGCGCAGAUGCGUAGCCGAACUGAGAGGGUGAACGGCCACACUGGGACUGAGGCACGGCCCAGACUCCUACUGGAGGCAGCAGUAGGGAAUCUUCGGCAAUGGGCGAAAGCCUGACCGAGCAACGCCGCGUGAAUGAUGAAGGCCUUCGGGUUGUAAAAUUCUGUUAUAAGGGAAGAACGACUUUAGUAGGAAAUGGCUAGAGUGUGACGGUACCUUAUGAGAAAGCCACGGCUAACUACGUGCCAGCAGCCGCGGUAA